This 440-nucleotide ribosomal RNA is filed under the name uncultured bacterium. RNAcentral's name for it is "partial 16S ribosomal RNA". It matches the Rfam family "Bacterial small subunit ribosomal RNA", at positions 338 to 795 of the family's 1533-position model. The record is from RNAcentral.
CCUACGGGAGGCAGCAGUGGGGAAUAUUGCACAAUGGGGGAAACCCUGAUGCAGCGACGCCGCGUGAGUGAAGACGUAACUCGUUAUGUAAAGCUCUAUCAGCAGGGAAGAAAAUGACGGUACCUGAGUCAGAAGCCCCGGCUAACUACGUGCCAGCAGCCGCGGUCAUACGUCGGCGGCAAGCGUUAUCCGGAUUUACUGGGUGUAAAGGGAGCGUAGACGGCAGGGCAAGUCUGGAGUGAAAGGCGGGGGCUCAACCCCCGGACUGCUCUUGAAACUGUCAGGCUGGAGUGCAGGAGAGGUAAGUGGAAUUCGUAGUGUAGCGGUGAAAUGCGUAGAGAUUAGGAGGAACUCCAGUGGCGAAGGCGGCUUACUGGACUGUAACUGACGUUGAGGCUCGAAAGCGUGGGUAGCAAACAGGAUUAGAUACCCGAGUAGUC